Non-coding RNA from Paramuricea clavata, 598 nucleotides. Lineage: Eukaryota; Metazoa; Cnidaria; Anthozoa; Malacalcyonacea; Plexauridae. The record is from the annotation of a GenBank genome assembly.
CCGGGGGGGGGCUCUGUUGACAAACAUGAAAUCGUGAAAACAUUCGUCGACGUACGUCAAUGACGUCAUACGUCUAGUGAUUGUCAUCAGUGGCGCCGUGGCCGGGGGGAGCAGGGGGGGGGGGCAUGGCCCUCCCCUAUUGUUGACACCCGUCGUAAAAUUGCCAAUGCUGCCGGAAAUUGCCGGAAAAUUGUCAAGACUGUCGGAAAUUGUCAAAGUUGUCGACGGGGGGGGUGAAGAUUUAAAAUGUUGUCGUCUGGAAAACUUUUUGGUUUGUCGGAAAAAUUUUUCGGUUUGUCGGAAAAGUACUGCCCUUGCCCCCCCCCAAAAAAAAACAUGGGUCCCACGGCGCCACUGAUUGUCAUUCUACUUCCUGUUAAAUAUUUGUUAAAACUCAGUGGUCCCGUAAUUUUUACCGAUUACGUAUGACGUCAUUGACAUCAACGAAUGUUUUCACGAUUUCAUGUUUGUCAAUAGAGCCUCCCCCCCCCCGCCCCGGUAAAUUUAGUUCUGCAGCACGGUGGAAAGCCUUGCAAAGUCUCUAUUGCACUAUUCGUCGACUAUUCGUACUAUUCGUCGACUAUUCGCGGACUAUUCG